Molecule: ribosomal RNA, 433 nt
Filed under: uncultured bacterium
Lineage: Bacteria
Description: partial 16S ribosomal RNA
Rfam family: Bacterial small subunit ribosomal RNA
Source: RNAcentral
AGCGAACGCUGGCGGCAGGCCUAACACAUGCAAGUCGAACGAACUCUUCGGAGUUAGUGGCGGACGGGUGAGUAACACGUGGGAACGUGCCUUUUGGUUCGGAAUAACUCAGGGAAACUUGUGCUAAUACCGAAUGUGCCCUUCGGGGGAAAGAUUUAUCGCCAUUAGAGCGGCCCGCGUCUGAUUAGCUAGUUGGUGAGGUAACGGCUCACCAAGGCGACGAUCAGUAGCUGGUCUGAGAGGAUGACCAGCCACACUGGGACUGAGACACGGCCCAGACUCCUACGGGAGGCAGCAGUGGGGAAUCUUGCGCAAUGGGCGAAAGCCUGACGCAGCCAUGCCGCGUGAAUGAUGAAGGUCUUAGGAUUGUAAAAUUCUUUCACCGGGGACGAUAAUGAAGGUACCCGGAGAAGAAGCCCCGGCUAACUUCGUG